RNAcentral lists this small RNA (29 nucleotides) under Bombyx mori (domestic silkworm). RNAcentral's name for it is "ovarian small RNA-36203". The record is from RNAcentral. Lineage: Eukaryota; Metazoa; Arthropoda; Insecta; Lepidoptera; Bombycidae.
UGUUGUUCUGAUUCCGGCCUCCACGCCGA